Molecule: ribosomal RNA, 253 nt
Filed under: uncultured bacterium
Lineage: Bacteria
Description: partial 16S ribosomal RNA
Rfam family: Bacterial small subunit ribosomal RNA
Source: RNAcentral
UACGUAGGGUGCAAGCGUUGUCCGGAUUUAUUGGGCGUAAAGAGCUCGUAGGCGGUCUGUCGCGUCGGAUGUGAAAACCCAGGGCUCAACCCUGGGCCUGCAUUCGAUACGGGCAGACUAGAGUGUGGCAGGGGAGACUGGAAUUCCUGGUGUAGCGGUGAAAUGCGCAGAUAUCAGGAGGAACACCGGUGGCGAAGGCGGGUCUCUGGGCCGUUACUGACGCUGAGGAGCGAAAGCGUGGGGAGCGAACAGG